RNAcentral lists this ribosomal RNA (253 nucleotides) under uncultured bacterium. RNAcentral's name for it is "partial 16S ribosomal RNA". It matches the Rfam family "Bacterial small subunit ribosomal RNA", at positions 524 to 776 of the family's 1533-position model. The record is from RNAcentral.
UACGAAGGGGGCUAGCGUUGUUCGGAAUUACUGGGCGUAAAGGGCGCGUAGGCGGCGUGUCAAGUCAGGCGUGAAAGCCCCGGGCUCAACCUGGGAACCGCGCUUGAGACUGGCAUGCUCGAGUUCGGGAGAGGGAUGCGGAAUUCCAGGUGUAGCGGUGAAAUGCGUAGAUAUCUGGAGGAACACCGGUGGCGAAAGCGGCUCUCUGGGACGGUACUGACGCUGAGACGCGAAAGCGUGGGGAGCAAACAGG